GAGGCUUUGCUUUCCUAUCUGUCUCGCCGCGUGCUUGGCCGCCCAGGGCAAGCAGGAUUCUCCCAAGAAAGGCGCUCUGAUUUGGGGGAACACAAGCCAACUUCGAGCCUUCCUACCAGUCUCGCCUACCAGUUGUAUUGUUUAAAAGGUCAGCUGCAUCAGAAAAUGAGGGAGCUGUGUGGUCCCUGAGGUUGGCUAGAGCACAAGGACAGGGUCACUUUAAACCCAUCUGGAAGCAGCCGUCAGGAGGUGAAAGGGGAUGUACUUUGGCUGUCACAUUGAAGACACCAUGGGGGAGCACUAAUUUGAGGAGUAGUGCGGUGAGUUUGGUUAGAGAAAGAAAAGUAGAUUUCCAAGAUUCGAGCAAAUGGAAUUUUGUUUAAGGGUCUGGUGUCAGAAGUUGCCGGAUAAUGGUUUUCGCUCUGAUGAGGAGCUCUGUUUCUUAAAAAGGGUCACCUUAUACUGGAGGGCUAACAGCAUGGUGGUAGGGUUUUCACAAGAAAAUAUAUAACAGUUCCAGCUAGUUUGC
This 529-nucleotide long non-coding RNA is filed under the name Ursus maritimus (polar bear). RNAcentral's name for it is "lncRNA (ENSUMAG00000007685.1)". The record is from RNAcentral. Lineage: Eukaryota; Metazoa; Chordata; Mammalia; Carnivora; Ursidae.